UGAAUACGAGACGCUAAGGCGUCGAAGUAGUGUAUAUCAGACUUCCAAGAAAAGCUUGCACUGUCAUAGAUAAAAAAUGCCUGUACCAUAACCGACACAGGUGGGUAGGUAGAGUAUACUAAGGGGCGCGAGAUAACUCUCUCUAAGGAACUCGGCAAAAUAACUCCGUAACUUCGGGAGAAGGAGUGCCUUAUUUAUAAGGUUGCAAUAACAAGAUCCAAGCAACUGUUUAUCAAAAACACAGGUCUCCGCUAAGUCGUAAGACGAUGUAUGGGGGCUGACGCCUGCCCAGUGCCAGAAGGUUAAAGAAGUUGGUUAGCAAUUGCGAAGCUGAUAACUGAAGCCCUGGUGAACGGCGGCCGUAACUAUAACGGUCCUAAGGUAGCGAAAUUCCUUGUCGGGUAAGUUCCGACCCGCACGAAAGGCGUAAUGAUUUGGAUACUGUCUCGGAGAGGGGCUCGGUGAAAUAGACUUGUCUGUGAAGAUGCGGACUACCUGCACCAGGACAGAAAGACCCUAUGAAGCUUUACUGUAACUUGAAAUUGAAAUUGGACUUUAUUCGCGCAGCAUAGGUGGGAGGCGUUGAUUAUAAUCUUGCGGGAUUAUUGGAGCCAUCAGUGAGAUACCACUCUUGUAAUGUUAGAUUUCUAACUUUGAAUCAUUAUCUGGUCAAAGAACAGUUUCAGGCGGGCAGUUUGACUGGGGCGGUCGCCUCCUAAAUGGUAACGGAGGCGUACAAAGGUUUCCUCUGAACGGUUAGAAAUCGUAUCUAGAGUGUAAAGGCAUAAGGAAGCUUGACUGUGAGACCUACAAGUCGAGCAGGGACGAAAGUCGGUCUUAGUGAUCUGACGGUACUGAGUGGAAAGGCCGUCACUCAACGGAUAAAAGUUACUCUAGGAUAACAGGCUGAUCUCCCCCAAGAGUUCACAUCGACGGGGAGGUUUGGCACCUCGAUGUCGGCUCAUCGCAUCCUGGGGCGGUAGUACGUCCCAAGGGUUGGGCUGUUCGCCCAUGAAAGCGGUACGCGAGCUGGGUUCAGAACGUCGUGAGACAGUUCGGUCCAUAUCCGGUGUAGGCGUUAGAAUAUUGAGAGGAGCCUUCUUUAGUACGAGAGGACCGAGAAGGACAUACCUCUGGUGUACCAGUUAUCGUGCCAACGGUAAACGCUGGGUAGCUAUGUAUGGAGUGGAUAACCGCUGAAAGCAUCUAAGUGGGAAGCCCACCUC
RNAcentral lists this ribosomal RNA (1226 nucleotides) under metagenome. Its description in RNAcentral is "bacterial LSU rRNA". It matches the Rfam family "Bacterial large subunit ribosomal RNA", at positions 1564 to 2800 of the family's 2925-position model. The record is from RNAcentral.